RNAcentral lists this long non-coding RNA (201 nucleotides) under Physcomitrium patens. RNAcentral's name for it is "long non-coding RNA (PPAT_LNC012093)". The record is from RNAcentral. Lineage: Eukaryota; Viridiplantae; Streptophyta; Bryopsida; Funariales; Funariaceae.
AAUAGAUCAGUGAUUCUUAGUGUAGACGCUAGUCCAAUUGCUGUUGGAUGGGCUGUGGGUCAAGAUGAUUCAGAUGGGAGUAGAUUUGCAGUUCGAUUUGGGGCUAAAGUUUUAAGUAUUCGUCAGCGUGCAUAUUCGUAAGUCAAAAGAGAACUUUGGGGAGUCGUUUCGGCUUUGAAAGCUGAAAAGGACUAUUUGAAU